GUUCGGGAGGCUAAGACGAACAAAUUAGCUAGCUCGAAGGGAAUGAUAUCCUAAGAAUAAGAUUCAUGUGUGUGCAGGAGGUUGUUAGGCUAUUUUACUCUACUUCAACUGCAUGAGGGAACUGCAGCUGCACAAGAACAUAUCCAUCAUGAAGAAGGAAUUGGCAGUUUGAAAUGUCUGCUUCCUCAAUGCAAGUCUAAUCGGACAUAUUGACUGCUGAUGUUCAAAACACACCUCCUUUCUUGGAAGCCGGUGGGCGCCAUCCCAACUUCUCCUUUUGCGUUUGACCUCCAGAAACAAACCAGGGUCACUGUCCUUGGUCCUCUGGGGCUGUUCAGACUUUUGCCAAGUCCUCACUCAGAAGCUUCCAUGGCUGCAAUGUGAAAUCCUCCCAGCUGCCACUGCGGUUUGGUCAACAAAGCCACAUAUUCUAAAGGGCAAAGAGUUUUAGAAGCUGAGAAGGCCUUAAUGUAUGUUUCAGUUUACAUGAACACAUGGCCACAUUAACACAACAGAUAUCCAUGCUGGUAUUUGAACAGCGCUCUGCAUACAACCCCUGGUGUAUAGUUUUUACUUGAUGUUUAUUGAGUGCAUUACAUUGCACAUGGCUUAUAAGAAUAUUACAUGUAAGUGCUUCUAC
This is a long non-coding RNA of Alosa sapidissima (American shad), 640 nucleotides long. RefSeq lists it as uncharacterized. The transcript has 3 exons. The record is from RefSeq and is a predicted model, not a curated record. NCBI's taxonomy places the organism in Eukaryota, Metazoa, Chordata, Actinopteri, Clupeiformes, Clupeidae.